This 372-nucleotide ribosomal RNA is filed under the name uncultured organism. RNAcentral describes it as "bacterial SSU rRNA". It matches the Rfam family "Bacterial small subunit ribosomal RNA", at positions 526 to 896 of the family's 1533-position model. The record is from RNAcentral.
CGGAGGGUGCGAGCGUUGUCCGGAGUCACUGGGCGUAAAGGGCGCGUAGGCGGCCUGGUAAGUAGGGGGUGAAAUCCUGCGGCUUAACCGCAGGGCUGCCUUCUAAACUGUCAGGCUUGAGCACAGUAGAGGCAGGUGGAAUUCCCGGUGUAGCGGUGGAAUGCGUAGAGAUCGGGAAGAACAUCAGUGGCGAAGGCGGCCUGCUGGGCUGUUGCUGACGCUGAGGCGCGACAGCGUGGGGAGCAAACAGGAUUAGAUACCCUGGUAGUCCACGCCGUAAACGAUGGGCACUAGGCGUCGGGGGGAGCGACCCUCCCGGUGCCGUCGCUAACGCAGUAAGUGCCCCGCCUGGGGAGUACGGCCGCAAGGCUG